This 471-nucleotide ribosomal RNA is filed under the name uncultured bacterium. Its description in RNAcentral is "partial 16S ribosomal RNA". It matches the Rfam family "Bacterial small subunit ribosomal RNA", at positions 28 to 507 of the family's 1533-position model. The record is from RNAcentral.
GACGAACGCUGGCGGCGUGCUUAACACAUGCAAGUCGAACGAUGAAGCGGUGCUUGCACCGUGGAUUAGUGGCGAACGGGUGAGUAAUACGUGAGUGACCUACCUUUGACUCUGGGUUAAGCCUGGGAAACUGGGUCUAAUACCGGAUACGACCAAUCUCUGCAUGGGGUGUUGGUGGAAAGCGUUAUGGAGUGGUUUUAGAUGGGCUCACGGCCUAUCAGCUUGUUGGUGAGGUAAUGGCUUACCAAGGCGACGACGGGUAGCCGGCCUGAGAGGGUGACCGGCCACACUGGGACUGAGACACGGCCCAGACUCCUACGGGAGGCAGCAGUGGGGAAUAUUGCACAAUGGGCGCAAGCCUGAUGCAGCGACGCCGCGUGAGGGAUGACGGCCUUCGGGUUGUAAACCUCUGUUAGCAUCGAAGAAGCGAAAGUGACGGUAGGUGCAGAGAAAGCGCCGGCUAACUACGUG